This 391-nucleotide unclassified non-coding RNA is filed under the name fungal sp. RNAcentral's name for it is "partial contains 5.8S ribosomal RNA, internal transcribed spacer 2, and large subunit ribosomal RNA". Lineage: Eukaryota; Fungi. The record is from RNAcentral.
CGCACCUUGCACCCUUUGGUAUUCCGAAGGGUAUGCCUGUUUGAGUGUCUUGAAAUUCUCAAAAAAAAAAAAUCUUGCAUUUUGUUUCAGAAUGAAAUGUAGGCUAUAAUUUUUUUUUGGUCAUGAGCGUCUAAAAUUUGCCAGUUUAUAAAACGACUGGCUCGCUUUAAAUGAAUUAGCCGAGCUAUAUUGUAUAAACAGUCUCACACAAGCGUAAUACAUAUUUCGCUUGUUUUGUCUUUCGGGGCAAGGAUCGUUAGAACAACUAAGCAAGGCUGCCUUAAUUUGCUCAACGAAAGUUGUACCAUUUUUUUUUACAUGCCUUAUGAAAAUAAGACAUGUAAUAAAUUCAUCAGACCUCAAAUCAGGUAGGACUACCCGCUGAACUUAA